AUUAGGGUGUCAGAUAAAUGUGUUAGAUUUAGGAUCUAAUUAUGAGUGUGUACUCCCCUAGUA
Molecule: transfer RNA, 63 nt
Filed under: Paphia amabilis (short-necked clam)
Lineage: Eukaryota; Metazoa; Mollusca; Bivalvia; Venerida; Veneridae
Description: tRNA-Leu
Source: RNAcentral